UGUUUUAAUUUAUUAAUAUAGAUCAUAAUGAUCACUCAAAUUUACUGUAUUUCAGAUACCAGUGGAGUGAAUGUGACUCAUGUGUUCAUCAGUUCUGGUGAAAAUGUCCGUCUGCCCUGUAAUAAUGAUCUUUCUGACUGCACAUCAACUACAUGGACCUAUUUCAGACAUUCAGCAGCAGUUGAACUGAUUACUGAAGGGAUAAAGAAGAAAGACACAGAGAGACAUGAGAGUCUGAGUCUGGGGUCUGACUGCUCUCUGAACAUCAAGAACGUCACAGAAGAAGAUUAUGGAUUUUACACCUGCAGACAAUAUGAGAAUGGAGGAAAACAAUUAACUGAUGCAUGUGUUUCUCUGCAUGUUCUUCAUGGUAAUUUUAUGAUUAUGUGGUCAAUUUAAAAUGGGCAGAUUCUUCCUUUAAACUCAGAUGAUGAUUGAAGAGUCUGUGAUUUUCGUCUUGUGUUCAGUUUCAGUGUCUCCAUCAUCAUCUUCAUCAUCAUCAUCAUCCUCACAGACCGAGAUCAGUCCAGGCCGCUCUGUGACUCUCUCCUGUCAGUUGUAUUCAGUCUUCUGUGAUUAUUGGGUCCAUUCUGAUGAACUUCAUCUGUUGUGGGUGAAUCAGACUGGUGUUGAUCUGACGACAGACUCAAAAUAUCAGAUAUUAUUCUCAUUGGAUCACUGUAACAUCACUCUGACUACAACACUCCUGAAUGAAGAUGACAACAGAGAGUGGAGAUGUCAGCUUACUCACAGAAAUCAACUCCAGACCUCCGUCAGAUACACUGUCAAGUAUUCAGUCAGCAGCUCAAACUCUGAGAAGAAAUCAAGCCAAACUACAGCAGCAGCUCCUACACAAGAUUCAGCUGACACAGCAUCAGAAACUGAAGUCAGUGUGACUGCUGGAUCAUUAUUCAGAGUGAUUGUGAUCAUUGUUGAGAUGGCAGUGUUUGCUGCUCCUACUGUGAUUCUUCUUCAGAUCAUCUGUGCAAGAAGAGCUGGAAGGAAGGACUUGCAGCACUCAGAGCAAAUAGAGAUGCCUACGAUAUUACAAUAAAAUACUGCUGAGUUUGGAGACAAUCUGAAACAAGAUUUAAAACAGCAAAAACUCACAGAGGAUUGUUCAUUGUUUGAUUUUCUUCUCAGAAAACAGAGAAAAAAAUCUCCCUGAAGAAAUAGUGACGCCAUCAAGUUUAGAUUAAAAUAUAUUUUAGAAAUAAAAGGCCAGAUUUAUGUUUAUUUACA
Molecule: long non-coding RNA, 1242 nt
Organism: Ctenopharyngodon idella (grass carp)
Lineage: Eukaryota; Metazoa; Chordata; Actinopteri; Cypriniformes; Xenocyprididae
Exons: 5
Source: RefSeq, a predicted model, not a curated record